Molecule: ribosomal RNA, 505 nt
Filed under: Tricholomopsis sp. IB-2015b
Lineage: Eukaryota; Fungi; Basidiomycota; Agaricomycetes; Agaricales
Description: eukaryotic LSU rRNA
Rfam family: 5.8S ribosomal RNA (bases 133-286)
Source: RNAcentral
GGUUGUUGCUGGCUCUUUUGGGGCAUGUGCACACCUUUUACCUUUCUUUCCACCUGUGCACCCUUUGUAGGCAGAGCCUAUGAUUUUACAUACUCAAUUAACAUAUAUGAUGGUGGCUCUUAAUAUACAUACAACUUUCAACAAUGGAUCUCUUGGUUCUCGCAUCGAUGAAGAACGCAGCGAAAUGCGAUAAGUAAUGUGAAUUGCAGAUCUCAGUGAAUCAUCGAAUCUUUGAACGCACCUUGCGCCCUUUGGUAUUCCAAAGGGCAUGCCUGUUUGAGUGUCAUUAAAUUCUCAAAGCUCUGCUUUGGAUUUGAAGACUGCUGGCUUACUCCAGAGCCAGCUUCUUUGAAAUGCAUUAGUAGGAUCAUCAUGCUGGAUCGAUACAGGUGUGAUAAGGUAUCACCAUCUGAGAUUAGGCAAGAAAACCUGCUCAUAAUGACCCUUUGGUAUUUGACCUUUGACCUCAAAUCAGGUAAGACUACCCGCUGAACUUAAGCAUAUC